Molecule: long non-coding RNA, 883 nt
Organism: Sphaerodactylus townsendi
Lineage: Eukaryota; Metazoa; Chordata; Lepidosauria; Squamata; Sphaerodactylidae
Exons: 2
Source: RefSeq, a predicted model, not a curated record
AUGAGGAACUGUAUUAAAGGGUUGCGGCAUUAGGAAGGUUGAGAACCACUGAUCUAACUCAUCUCCCCCACCCCCACCAUUCCACAGAGUAUCUGCUUACUCCCUCUGUAUGUAGGGAUUUGUUGUGAUGCUGCAUCUUGGAACUUGGAAUUAGAGGCCCUGCAUCACACGAACCCAAUUUACAUUUCCACCUUUAGUUUUCGUUUAUAGCAUUGUGCUUUUAUACUGUCCUGAGCAGUAUUAGCACAAUUCAGGACAUUUUCACAGCACAAAUUUAUAUAAUAAAACAUUAGGAAUGUAGAGGGCGGGUUAGGUUAGUUAACUCCUUUUGUGUAUAUUGUUGGGGAUUGUAUUGUGUUUAGCUGUUAUUAAGUUAGUAAAGUUUGUUAGUUAAUUGCUGCUAUUAUUGUAAGGGUUACCGUUAGGUUUAAUAUGUCCAGAAGUUUAAUAAUGCUUAGAAGUUCGUAUAUAGUCACCAUCUCAGAUGUAAUGUUUAACUGAUUUCAUAUGUUUAUUGUUUAUUCAUUGCUGUAUUGUUUUAUUUCUUAUAUAUUGCUACUGUUGUUUGCUGUUUAUAAUGUUAGUUACGUUUAUCGUUGCUCAUAAUGCUGUUUUAUAAUGCUAUGUUAUUGUUGUUACUUCUUGAUAUUUGAUUAUUGUUGCUAUAUUUACUGAUGCUGUAUUUUGUUGGAUCAUGAUUGCUGAUGUUUUUGAUAUUUGAAAUAUGGUUUAUUGCUGUUGCUACUUGAUAUUAUGAUUAUUACUGUUGUGAUGUUUAUUGAUGCUAUAUUAUGUUGUUGUACACCACCCUGAGCCUUUCGGGGGAGGCAGUAUAUAAAUUAAAUUACCAAUUACCAAAUAAAUGGCAAAUUUCUUUCAAGAA